GAGGGACACACACAUCUUUUAAGAUAUGAGUCAGUCGCCGUCACCUACGUUAUGACUGUUGAAAGAAUGAUGAAAUCAAUAAAAUGAAUGAAUGGUUCCCGAAACUACCACUGAGGAUUUCCCGACCGUCGCUAAGUGACGUGAGACUUGUGAAGAACUCAAGCAUCCUACAAACAUUUAAUCAGAAUUUAAUGUGGCAAGGGAUGUGACAGAUGGAUGUACGGAGCGAUGUGGGAAUACAUAAUAGGACGCGGAGUCCAUCAUGAGUUCAGAGAAAAGGUUCUGGAAAUUCGAAUUGAGUCCUGAAGAAUGAGUUAGCAUCUGCGAGUGGUUAAAGGAAAAAGAGGUGCUGUGCAGAAGAAAAUGAGUAUAGGAAAUGAUGUACGUGGGAAACCUAACUAAUUCAGUGCCCCUACACUGUCAGUCUAGGGCUGCAAACUCAAAUGUCUGCAUUAAAGGAAGCAACCAGGAAAAUCUACGCUCAUGAGAGCUGGGGUUGUUGAAAACUGCAGAAGUUAUUUCCGCUGAAAGUGGGGCCGAACCUAUUCAGCCAGGCAGGGUCUCACUCUGUUGCCCAGGCUGGAGUGCAGUGACAGUAUGGCUCACUGUAACCUGGAACUCUUGGGCUCAAGCGAUCCUCCUGCUUCAGCCUCCCAAAUAACUGGGACUACAGGCACGAACACCAUGCCCAGCACCAGCGUCUGGUAGAAAGAAGACCAGCUGGGCGAUGGCCGCUAACCCUACCACCCCUCAUUGCCGGAUUCCCCUCACCUUCUGGGCCCAUUAAGGACUUUGUCGGUUGUUCUCGGGACUAGGCAUUUAGGUUGUUUCCCUAUAUUGGCUGCAAUGCUGCAAUGAACAUGGGAUCGCAUUUAUCUAUACAAGGUGGUUAUCUCAUUUUAUUUGGGUAUAUCCCCUAAAGAGGGAUUGUUGGGUCAUAUGUAGCUCUAUUUUCAGUUUAUUUAGAAACCUCCAUACUGUUUUCCACAAUGGCUAUACAUUCUCACUAACAAUGCACAAAGGUUCUCUGUUCUCUUCACCCUUAUCCACGUUUAUGAUUAAUAUCUUUUGACUUUUUGAUAAUAGUCAUCCUAUUAUUAUCUAGUAUCUCAUAAUGGUUUCAAUUCACAUUUCCCUUAUGAUUAGUGAUGUUGAACACCUUUUCAUAUCCAUCUUGGCCAUUUUUCUUCUUGGAGAAAUGUCUUUUCAGGUUUUUGCCUAUUUUUAAAUGGGAUCAUUUGUUUUCCUGCUAUUGAGUUGUAUGAGUUCUUUAUCAAUUUGAUGUAUCUUAUUAGAUAUAUAGUUUGCAAAUAUUUUUUCCAAUCCAUAGGUUGCCAUUUCAUUUUGUUGCUUGUUGUCUUUGCUAUGCAGAAGCUUUUCAGCUUGAUGUAGUCCCAUUUAUUUAUUUUUGCUUUUGUGGCCUGGGCUUUUGAUGUGAUAGCCAAAAAAUCAUUGCUAAGGCCAAGGUUCAGGAGCUUAUCAUACAUUUUAACAGCUGGAAGAGCUCAUCCACUCUCAUUAUUUUUUUCUCAGAAUUUUUCUUAUCUGUCUCACUUUUGUUUUUUAGUUGAGGAUUAGUAUCAUCUUGUCAAGUUAAAAAAUUGUAUAUUGAUUAAUUUAGGGAAAAUUGACAUCUUUACAAUACUGAGUCUUCCUAUCCAAAGCAAUAUGUCUUCUUUACAUUAUUUUUUACUUUGAUAAGUGUGGUUUAAAUGUAGCUUUUAUUAAUUUACUAAAUGAUACAUUUUAUUUAUUCUUGUUAAUUAUUAUUGUCCUAACUCACUAUUAUUUGUAUAAAAGAAAGUUAUUUUUUAUUUUAAUAUUCCCUUUCACUUUACUGAAUUUUAUUUUACCACUUUUACCACAUUAUUUAUUAUUAUUGUUAUUUUUAUUAUUUUGAGACAGAGUUCCGCUCUUGUUGUCUAGGCUGGAGUGCAAUGGUGUGAUCUCGGCUCACCACAACCUCUGCCUCCCAGGUUCAAGUGAUUCUCCCGCCUCAGCCUCCCGAGUAGCUGGGAUUACAGGCAUGCACCACUAUGCCCGGCUAAUUUUGUAUUUUAAGUAGAGAUGGGGUUUCUCCAUGUUGUCAGGCUGGUCUCCAACUCCUGACCUCAGGUGAUCCACCUGACUUGGCUCCCAAAGUGCUGGGAUUACAGGUGUGAGCCACCACGCCCUGCCUAUUGUUAUUAUUUUUAUUAUUUUCCAGAGUCUUGCUCUGUCACCAGACUGGAGUGCUCUGGUGCGACCUUGGCUCACUGCAACCUCCGCCUCCCAGGAUCAAGCACUUCUCAUGCUUCGGCCUCAUGAGUAGCUGGGACUACAGGUGUGCACCACCAAGCCAGGCUAAUUUUUGUAUUUUUAGAAGAGAUGGGGUUUUGCCAUGUUGGCCAGGUUGGUCUUGAACUCCUGACCUCAGGUGAUCCACCCACCUCAGCCUCCCAAAAUGCUGGGAUUAUAGGCAUGAACUGCUGUGCCUGGCCGUAAUACUUUAUUAUUAUUUGGUUCUCAUGGAUUUCCUAGGUGUAUAAUCACUUACAAAUAAAAGUAAUUUUGGCAUUUAUUUAAAUAUUAUAACCUAUUUUUCUUAUAUAAUUGGAUUGGCUACCUGUUCUAAAACAC
Long non-coding RNA from Symphalangus syndactylus (siamang), 2619 nucleotides. RefSeq lists it as uncharacterized. The record is from RefSeq and is a predicted model, not a curated record. NCBI's taxonomy places the organism in Eukaryota, Metazoa, Chordata, Mammalia, Primates, Hylobatidae.